GGAGCGAUGGCUGAGUGGUUUAAGGCGGCAGUCUUGAAAACUGUUGUGCGUUAGCGUACCGGGGGUUCGAAUCCCUCUCGCUCCGCCA
This 88-nucleotide transfer RNA is filed under the name Chloroflexota bacterium. RNAcentral describes it as "Chloroflexi bacterium tRNA-Ser". It matches the Rfam family "tRNA". From Rfam's summary of the family: Transfer RNA (tRNA) molecules are approximately 80 nucleotides in length. Their secondary structure includes four short double-helical elements and three loops (D, anti-codon, and T loops). Lineage: Bacteria; Bacillati; Chloroflexota. RNAcentral also lists the same sequence under 3 other names. The record is from RNAcentral.